Molecule: ribosomal RNA, 515 nt
Filed under: Arthrobacter sp. ACT2E
Lineage: Bacteria; Bacillati; Actinomycetota; Actinomycetes; Micrococcales; Micrococcaceae
Description: bacterial SSU rRNA
Rfam family: Bacterial small subunit ribosomal RNA
Source: RNAcentral
GGCUCAGGAUGAACGCUGGCGGCGUGCUUAACACAUGCAAGUCGAACGAUGAUGCCCAGCUUGCUGGGUGGAUUAGUGGCGAACGGGUGAGUAACACGUGAGUAACCUGCCCUUGACUCUGGGAUAAGCCUGGGAAACUGGGUCUAAUACCGGAUAUGACUGCUCCGCGCAUGCGGUGGUGGUGGAAAGCUUUUGCGGUUUUGGAUGGACUCGCGGCCUAUCAGCUUGUUGGUGGGGUAAUGGCCUACCAAGGCGACGACGGGUAGCCGGCCUGAGAGGGUGACCGGCCACACUGGGACUGAGACACGGCCCAGACUCCUACGGGAGGCAGCAGUGGGGAAUAUUGCACAAUGGGCGCAAGCCUGAUGCAGCGACGCCGCGUGAGGGAUGACGGCCUUCGGGUUGUAAACCUCUUUCAGUAGGGAAGAAGCGAUAAGUGACGGUACCUGCAGAAGAAGCGCCGGCUAACUACGUGCCAGCAGCCGCGGUAAUACGUAGGGCGCAAGCGUUAUCCG